GACGAACGCUGGCGGCGUGCCUAAUACAUGCAAGUAGAACGCUGAAGGAGGAGCUUGCUUCUCUGGAUGAGUUGCGAACGGGUGAGUAACGCGUAGGUAACCUGCCUGGUAGCGGGGGAUAACUAUUGGAAACGAUAGCUAAUACCGCAUAAUGGUAGAUGUUGCAUGACAUUUGCUUAAAAGGUGCAAUUGCAUCACUACCAGAUGGACCUGCGUUGUAUUAGCUAGUUGGUGGGGUAACGGCUCACCAAGGCGACGAUACAUAGCCGACCUGAGAGGGUGAUCGGCCACACUGGGACUGAGACACGGCCCAGACUCCUACGGGAGGCAGCAGUAGGGAAUCUUCGGCAAUGGACGGAAGUCUGACCGAGCAACGCCGCGUGAGUGAAGAAGGUUUUCGGAUCGUAAAGCUCUGUUGUAAGAGAAGAACGAGUGAGAGAGUGGAAAGUUCACACUGUGACGGUAUCUUACCAGAAAGGGACGGCUAACUACGUGU
RNAcentral lists this ribosomal RNA (496 nucleotides) under uncultured Streptococcus sp. Its description in RNAcentral is "bacterial SSU rRNA". It matches the Rfam family "Bacterial small subunit ribosomal RNA", at positions 28 to 508 of the family's 1533-position model. The record is from RNAcentral. Lineage: Bacteria; Bacillati; Bacillota; Bacilli; Lactobacillales; Streptococcaceae.